AAACUUUCAACAACGGAUCUCUUGGUUCUCGCAUCGAUGAAGAGCGCAGCGAAAUGCGAUACCUAGUGUGAAUUGCAGCCAUCGUGAAUCAUCGAGUUCUUGAACGCACAUUGCGCCCCCUGGUAUUCCGGGGGGCAUGCCUGUCCGAGCGUCAUUG
RNAcentral lists this ribosomal RNA (157 nucleotides) under uncultured eukaryote. Its description in RNAcentral is "5.8S ribosomal RNA". It matches the Rfam family "5.8S ribosomal RNA". Rfam says of the family: 5.8S ribosomal RNA (5.8S rRNA) is a component of the large subunit of the eukaryotic ribosome. It is transcribed by RNA polymerase I as part of the 45S precursor that also contains 18S and 28S rRNA. The record is from RNAcentral.